RNAcentral lists this ribosomal RNA (253 nucleotides) under uncultured bacterium. RNAcentral describes it as "partial 16S ribosomal RNA". It matches the Rfam family "Bacterial small subunit ribosomal RNA", at positions 524 to 776 of the family's 1533-position model. The record is from RNAcentral.
UACGUAGGUGGCAAGCGUUGUCCGGAUUUACUGGGCGUAAAGAGCGCGCAGGCGGUCGUCCAAGUCGCGUGUGAAAGCCCCCGGCUCAACUGGGGAGGGUCACGCGAUACUGGUCGACUCGAAGGCAGGAGAGGGUAGUGGAAUUCCCGGUGUAGUGGUGAAAUGCGUAGAUAUCUGGAGGAACACCGGUGGCGAAGGCGGCAUCCUGGACCAACACUGACACUGAGGAGCGAAAGCCAGGGGAGCAAACGGG